UACGUAGGGGGCGAGCGUUGUCCGGAAUGAUUGGGCGUAAAGGGCGCGUAGGCGGCCUGUUAAGUCUGGAGUGAAAUUCCUGCUUUCAAGGUAGGAAGUGCUUUGGAAACUGGCGGGCUGGAGUGCAGGAGAGGUUAGCGGAAUUCCCGGUGUAGCGGUGAAAUGCGUAGAGAUCGGGAGGAACACCAGUGGCGAAGGCGGCUAACUGGACUGUAACUGACGCUGAGGCGCGAAAGUGUGGGGAGCAAACAGGAUUAGAUACCCUGGUAGUCCACACUGUAAACGAUGAAUGCUAGGUGUAGGGGGUAUCGACCCCUUCUGUGCCGGAGUUAACACAAUAAGCAUUCCGCCUGGGGAGUACGGCCGCAAGGUUGAA
This 376-nucleotide ribosomal RNA is filed under the name uncultured bacterium. Its description in RNAcentral is "bacterial SSU rRNA". It matches the Rfam family "Bacterial small subunit ribosomal RNA", at positions 524 to 898 of the family's 1533-position model. The record is from RNAcentral.